CCAGCAGCUGCGGUAAUUCCAGCUCCAAUAGCAUAUAUUAAAGUUGUUGCAGUUAAAAAGCUCGUAGUUGGAUUUCUGGGAGGGCGCCAAUGUCCGCUCGUUCGCGUGUGCAGCGGCGCCCUUCCAUCCUUCUGUUAACGCUUCUUGGUAUUCACUUACUGGUAGCGGGCUCAGAUAUUUUACCUUGAGAAAAUUAGAGUGUUCAAAGCAGGCCUACGCUUGAAUACAUUAGCAUGGAAUAAUGGAAUAGGACUUUGGUGCUAUUUUGUUGGUUUAUGGGACCGAAGUAAUGAUUAACAGGGACAGUUGGGGCCGUUUAUAUUUCGUUGUCAGAGGUGAAAUUCUUGGAUUUACGAAAGAUAAACUUCUGCGAAAGCAUUCGGCAAGGAUGUUUUCAUUGAUCAAGAACGAAAGU
Molecule: ribosomal RNA, 415 nt
Filed under: uncultured eukaryote
Lineage: Eukaryota
Description: SSU rRNA
Rfam family: Eukaryotic small subunit ribosomal RNA
Source: RNAcentral